Molecule: ribosomal RNA, 450 nt
Filed under: uncultured bacterium
Lineage: Bacteria
Description: partial 16S ribosomal RNA
Rfam family: Bacterial small subunit ribosomal RNA
Source: RNAcentral
GUGGGGAAUUUUGGACAAUGGGCGAAAGCCUGAUCCAGCAAUGCCGCGUGUGUGAAGAAGGCCUUCGGGUUGUAAAGCACUUUUGGCAGGGAAGAAACAGUGCGUGCUAAUACCAUGCGCGAAUGACGGUACCUGCAGAAUAAGCACCGGCUAACUACGUGCCAGCAGCCGCGGUAAUACGUAGGGUGCAAGCGUUAAUCGGAAUUACUGGGCGUAAAGCGUGCGCAGGCGGCUUUGUAAGACGGAUGUGAAAGCCCCGGGCUCAACCUGGUAAGUGCAGUCGUGACGGCAAGGCUAGAGUGUGUCAGAGGGAGGGGGAAUUCCGCGUGUAGCAGUGAAAUGCGUAGAGAUGCGGAGGAACACCGAUGGCGAAGGCAGCCUCCUGGGCUAACACUGACGCUCAGGCACGAAAGCGUGGGGAGCAAACAGGAUUAGACACCCGAGUAGUCC